UGGAGUUGACGGGAACAUUCGCACAGAAGAGGAAUUUGUGAGGAUUCUGAACCACUCAUUGAGGCCGUGGAGUGUGUUGUUUAAUGAGUAAUACAGCUAACUGCAGUGUUCCACAAGACUGUUACCAGACCUUCAUGGGACCUUUCCGUUCUUUCUGGGUUGUCUUGAGGUUCUUCAGCGUUAGAGAGCAACUGAAAACAGGACACAGACCCAACCAGAGGACAACAACUCUACAUUGACUCAGAGGAAUCCUCCAGGACGACGACACAAACCAAAACCACUGCACAACUCUACAUCAACUCCCACACUUUCCAGAGGAUUCCUCCUGUAUGCUGUUCAUGGUGAAGAGCAACUUGAGGCUGACAGGGAUGCAAGUUGGACUGCUUAUCAAAGACAAAGGCCAGCUACAAGUCUUCAUCAUCAUUCAUCACAAGGUCAUCAUUCAUUUCAAAAGGGACAUGCCAACUGGCUAGUUGGGCUCAA
Engraulis encrasicolus (European anchovy) is the source of this 483-nucleotide long non-coding RNA. RefSeq lists it as uncharacterized. NCBI's taxonomy places the organism in Eukaryota, Metazoa, Chordata, Actinopteri, Clupeiformes, Engraulidae. The transcript has 5 exons. The record is from RefSeq and is a predicted model, not a curated record.